UGAGUUGAUAUUGAUUGUGGUGAUAUUGAUGACUUACUCCAUAUUCUCUAUGUUGAGAUCAUGUUCAUCUUGUUAUUGAUCUUGAGAUUUCAUCUCGAGCCAUGAUUAUAUUCUGUCUCAUGUGCAUAGUACUCUCUACUCCACUCACUGAGUAUUUAUAUACUCACUCCCCAGUUUAGUGUUUUUGAUUGCAGGGCAGGUAUUGUAUAGAGAAGAGCAGGGUUAGAGAUUGCCUGCUAGCUGUGCCGCUCCAUAGUAUAGUAUAGUAUAAUGUAGAUAAAGGUUUAUACAUUUUGGUGUAUUAUGAACCUUCUAUUGUAUAUAGUGUAUAGUUACAGUCAUAGAUCCCGUUGUGGAUAUGGGUUUGACCAUGGAUGGAAUGGGAACCAGAUUUUUAUACAGAUGAGUUAUAUGCCUGAGAUAAUGUAUUGAUAUAUAUUGUCCAGGUUCAUUAUGUGACAGAUUAUGUGAUUGCUGCUCUGACAGGUAGUAUUGUUGUAUGUAUUGAGAUAAUCCUGACAGGUCACUAUAGGAAAAGUGAUCAUUUUGUGCAUGCAUCAUGCCAAAUUUUUCAAGAUUUAUUGAUGAUUGAUAGGUAGUAGAGUUCUACGCGGUGGCUGGUGGCCUUAUGCCUACCCGCACCCUAGGACCGUCGCGGCGGCCCGCCGGGAACGGGG
RNAcentral lists this long non-coding RNA (677 nucleotides) under Phoenix dactylifera (date palm). RNAcentral's name for it is "long non-coding RNA (PDAC_LNC019327)". The record is from RNAcentral. Lineage: Eukaryota; Viridiplantae; Streptophyta; Magnoliopsida; Arecales; Arecaceae.